Molecule: ribosomal RNA, 497 nt
Filed under: uncultured bacterium
Lineage: Bacteria
Description: partial 16S ribosomal RNA
Rfam family: Bacterial small subunit ribosomal RNA
Source: RNAcentral
GAUGAACGCUGGCGGCGUGCCUAACACAUGCAAGUCGAGCGAACGGACGAGAAGCUUGCUUCUCUGAUGUUAGCGGCGGACGGGUGAGUAACACGUGGAUAACCUACCUAUAAGACUGGGAUAACUUCGGGAAACCGGAGCUAAUACCGGAUAAUAUUUUGAACCGCAUGGUUCAAAAGUGAAAGACGGUCUUGCUGUCACUUAUAGAUGGAUCCGCGCUGCAUUAGCUAGUUGGUAAGGUAACGGCUUACCAAGGCAACGAUGCAUAGCCGACCUGAGAGGGUGAUCGGCCACACUGGAACUGAGACACGGUCCAGACUCCUACGGGAGGCAGCAGUAGGGAAUCUUCCGCAAUGGGCGAAAGCCUGACGGAGCAACGCCGCGUGAGUGAUGAAGGUCUUCGGAUCGUAAAACUCUGUUAUUAGGGAAGAACAUAUGUGUAAGUAACUGUGCACAUCUUGACGGUACCUAAUCAGAAGGCCACGGCUAACUACGUG